AGUGAACGCUGGCGGUAGGCCUAACACAUGCAAGUCGAACGGCAGCACAGUAAGAGCUUGCUCUUACGGGUGGCGAGUGGCGGACGGGUGAGGAAUACAUCGGAAUCUACUUUUUCGUGGGGGAUAACGUAGGGAAACUUACGCUAAUACAGCAUACGACCUACGGGUGAAAGCAGGGGAUCUUCGGACCUUGCGCGAUUGAAUGAGCCGAUGUCGGAUUAGCUAGUUGGCGGGGUAAUGGCCCACCAAGGCGACGAUCCGUAGCUGGUCUGAGAGGAUGAUCAGCCACACUGGAACUGAGACACGGUCCAGACUCCUACGGGAGGCAGCAGUGGGGAAUAUUGGGCAACAGGCGCAAGCCUGAUCCAGCCAUACCGCGUGGGUUAAGAAGGCCUUCGGGUUGUAAAGCCCUUUUGUUGGGAAAGAAAAGCAGCAGGUUAAUACCCCGCUGUUCUGACGGUACCCAAAGAAUAAGCACCGGCUAACUUCGUG
This 492-nucleotide ribosomal RNA is filed under the name uncultured bacterium. RNAcentral describes it as "partial 16S ribosomal RNA". It matches the Rfam family "Bacterial small subunit ribosomal RNA", at positions 29 to 507 of the family's 1533-position model. The record is from RNAcentral.